CCUACGGGAGGCUGCAGUGGGGAAUUUUGCGCAAUGGGGGAAACCCUGACGCAGCAACGCCGCGUGGAGGAUGAAGCCCCUUGGGGUGUAAACUCCUUUCGACAGGGAAGCGGUACCUGUAUAAGAAGCCCCGGCUAACUUCGUGCCAGCAGCCGCGGUAAUACGAGGGGGGCAAGCGUUGUUCGGAAUUAUUGGGCGUAAAGGGCGCGUAGGCGGUCUGAUAAGUCUUGUGUGAAAUCUCUGGGCUCAACCCAGAGUCUGCAUAGGAAACUGUCGGGCUUGAGUAUGGGAGAGGUGCGUGGAAUUUCCGGUGUAGCGGUGAAAUGCGUAGAUAUCGGAAGGAACACCUGUGGCGAAAGCGGCGCACUGGACAAACUGACGCUGAGGCGCGAAAGCUAGGGGAGCAAACAGGAUUAGAUACCCUUGUAGUC
RNAcentral lists this ribosomal RNA (431 nucleotides) under uncultured bacterium. Its description in RNAcentral is "partial 16S ribosomal RNA". It matches the Rfam family "Bacterial small subunit ribosomal RNA", at positions 338 to 795 of the family's 1533-position model. The record is from RNAcentral.